UCAGUGGAGAAAAAACAAAGGCUCAACGUCUAGGAAAGGACCCAUUUUUCUAACAAGCUAAAUAUUAUCAAGAAGGAAUGUCAUCUAGCUAUUAAAGCAAAGGGGAUCAGGAGUCUAGGGCUCUGUUUCCAGCACUGCGGGUUUCUCUUCACUUUAGAGUUAACUCUGGCUCUGAUGUGGGUGUUGCCACUAACUACUGCUCUUGCCAAUACGUGCAAUUCUCUUAGCUGAGGUUAGUGGUGCUUCUAUUCUGGGCUAGGUGGCUUGUCUGGGAUGGCUGCUAAAAUCUGAGUGAAGGACCAACGAGUUUUCCCACAAUUCACUGGGAAAGAAUCAGAACAGCUCAGCUUAGUGCAGAACAAAGACCCAUGGGAUGUGCGCCUAUAAAUCCUAGUGACUCACAUUGGUGGGUGCAGCAAUAAUAAGGAUCCAGUAACAUGGGUGGGGCUUUGCAGUGUGGAGGAUCAGACCCAAACUAGACUAACUCUGGUGCUGAUCACCCGAGUUAACCCUACAGCGAAGACCUUCUCUGUGUGACCUUGGCCAUGUGUUAUUGCAGUCAUUUACCACUGCCCCCUUCUGGAUGAUUCCUAAUCCAUUAUGAGCCAGGGAUGUGACCUGCAGUGUUCCAGCUACUGCUGUUUCUAAUGCAGUAUCUUUCAGCUAGAACACCUGGAGACCAAACAUCUCAUUUCUGUCUUUGAAGAAAGCAGAUUCAAGUGCUAUUAUUCCAGACAAUAUAAAAACAAAAGUUUUUCAGCCUCAAAUUCUCACAGGUCUUAUCUCUGCCUGGCUUUCUGAUGGGGUAGAAGUGAUGUCCUCUGAAAUUUUCUGGCAAGCAGUUCGAUUCUAACGUCAAGAGAAUGGGGUAUCUGUGGGCCUGAACAAUUUGCAGAAGCCUUUUCUGUCUACAUAAAAUGAAAGAAGCACAGAAAUAUUUUUUAUUAACUUACAACCUAUGGCUAGCUUCUACAGCUCAA
Molecule: long non-coding RNA, 980 nt
Organism: Mauremys reevesii (Reeves's turtle)
Lineage: Eukaryota; Metazoa; Chordata; Testudines; Geoemydidae
Exons: 4
Source: RefSeq, a predicted model, not a curated record